This 230-nucleotide ribosomal RNA is filed under the name Periphetes graniferum. RNAcentral's name for it is "partial 12S ribosomal RNA". Lineage: Eukaryota; Metazoa; Arthropoda; Insecta; Phasmatodea; Lonchodidae. The record is from RNAcentral.
UAAACUAGGAUUAGAUACCCUAUUAUUUUUAAUGUAAAUUUUUCCUAGGUAGUAAUAGUUUUGUUCUUUAAACCUAAAGAAUUUGGCGGUGUUUUAUUCUAUUCAGAGGAAUUUGCCCCUUUAUCGAUAACCCUCGUUUUAUCUUGCUUUGAUUAUUUAGUAUGUAUACCGCCGUUAUAAGUUUAUUUUUUUAGAAUAUUUACUUUUUAUUAUAUUAUUUGUUAUUUCAG